CCUGAUCCAGCGACGCCGCGUGAAGGAAGAAGUCCUUCGGGAUGUAAACUUCUGAACUAAUCGGAUAAAAGGGUAGUGGACACACUACAGAAGAAGGUAGAUUAGGAAAAGUCCCGGCUAACUACGUGCCAGCAGCCGCGGUAAGACGUAGGGGGCGAGCGUUGCCCGGAAUCACUGGGUGUAAAGGGGACGUAGGCGGGUGAUCAAGUCAUCUGUGAAAAGAUUGCUCAACGAUUGGCUUGCGGAUGAAACUGAUCAUCUUGGGCGUAGCAGAGGUAGACGGAAUUACCUGAGUAGGGGUGAAAUCCGCAGAUACAGGUAAGAAGGCCGGUGAAGAAGUUGGUCUACUGGGCUACAGCUGACGCUGAGGUCCGAAAGCCAG
RNAcentral lists this ribosomal RNA (382 nucleotides) under uncultured Petrotoga sp. RNAcentral describes it as "bacterial SSU rRNA". It matches the Rfam family "Bacterial small subunit ribosomal RNA", at positions 382 to 763 of the family's 1533-position model. The record is from RNAcentral. Lineage: Bacteria; Thermotogati; Thermotogota; Thermotogae; Petrotogales; Petrotogaceae.